Molecule: RNA transcript, 3241 nt
Organism: Cucumis melo (muskmelon)
Lineage: Eukaryota; Viridiplantae; Streptophyta; Magnoliopsida; Cucurbitales; Cucurbitaceae
Exons: 8
Source: RefSeq, a predicted model, not a curated record
CCUAUUUUAAACGGCACUAUAAAUAAAUUAGGUUUCAUCCUCACUCUUCUCUCUUUUCACUCAGCCGUUGAAGAACCAGAAGCCCUAAUUCCCAUUCGAAGUCUGCAACUUUCGUCUUCUGGCCUCCCUUCUCUCUCGGGUACAGAGUGAUACACCCUUCUCCUUUCCCUUUGAAGUGAGAUAAAAUGGGUGAGAGGAAGGUGCUUAACAAAUACUACCCACCGGAUUUUGAUCCGUCAAAGCUACCAAGGGUUCGUAGACCCAAAAACCAGCAAAUGAAGGUUCGUAUGAUGCUUCCUAUGAGCAUCCGGUGCAAUACUUGUGGUAAUUACAUAUACAAGGGCACAAAGUUCAAUUCUCGCAAGGAGGACGUCAUUGGUGAGACAUAUUUGGGAAUUCAAAUUUUUAGGUUCUACUUCAAGUGUACCAGAUGUUCUGCUGAGCUUACCAUUAAAACAGACCCCCAAAACUCAGACUACGUUGUAGAAUCAGGAGCCACACGUAAUUUCGAACCAUGGCGUGAGGAAGAUGAAGCUUCUGAGAAGGAGAAACACAAAAGGAAUGCGGAAGAGAUGGGGGACCCAAUGAAAUCUUUGGAGAAUAGAACCUUGGAUUCCAAACGGGAGAUGGACAUUCUUGCUGCUUUGGAUGAGAUGAAGUCUAUGAAGUCGAGACACGCAACUGUGAGUAUUGAUUCAAUGCUUGUGGCUUUGCAACGAACUGCUGCUGAAAAGGAAAAGAAGUUAGAAGAAGAAGAUGAAGCACUGAUAAAAUCAAUAGUCUUCAAUAACUCAAACAGUUAUGUUAGAAGAAUUUCAGAUGAUGAAUUUGAUGAUGGUAGUCAUUCUGUUCAGCAUUUGACCAACAAUGAUAUAGCAUCGGACUUUAAAGCAAAGAAGCUAAGGGUUUCUGAAGGAUCUCCUCAUGAUCCUACCAGUACUUCAACAAAAGCUGAUUUUCUCCAUAGCCGCAUGGGUGAAGGUACCCUACCUUUAUACUUUUCUAAGGAAUAUAUUGGGAAAAUGGUGUGAAUGUUACAAAUAUAUACCAAUCUUUAAUUGAUUUGUCCCUUCUCUCAAUAUUGCGAGAAAAAGUUUUUGGUAGAAGCUAGUGCUGGGUAUAAAAGGAUCUUCUUUAUUCUUUUCUCUCUUCAUGAAAAGGUUACAGUUAAUAGGAAGGCCUUUCCAAUUCAAAAGUGGGAAAAUGGUAAAAGAAUAGUUAGUAAGGAACUUUUCAACGAGCGUUCUUAUAGUUCCUUUGGGAGGGGAUUCUCUCUACCUCUUAUCCCAACCCCUAGGCUGUUUGUUCUCUCCUUUUUUAAUCCUUUCAUGUUUCUUAUAAGGAAGAUUGUUGCUGAGGAAUGAGGGGUUCUCAUGGGGAGGAAAAUCAAGAUGAUUUUGGUUUGCAGGUGUGGAAUUUCAAGUUGGUAGCACUUAGUUUAAGGUAGGAAAUUAGAGUUUACAAGGGAUUGGGAUACGAUCUCAGAUGCGUCUUUUUCCUCUAAACAAGUCAGUUUAUAUCUGUGCUUUUCUUUCUCAAAACGACCCCAUCUUGAAGGGAGGUGAAACAAAGGCAUAUGGUGAAACUCUUGAAAGGCAUCACAAAGAUUCACCUUUUAUCUUCUCCUUUCUUCUUGUGUUCUGUGGGGAUGGGAAGGAAACAGUUUUCGGGAGGAUAAGUGGAUUAGGGAUAACCCUAUUAACUGCUCUCUUUUUCCAUGUUUUUACCUUUCAUCCUCAAUGAGGAAUCAAUCAUUUGUUGCUAUCUUUCCCCAUUCUUUGGAUUUUAUUGUAGUUUGUCCGAUAAGGAAAUGGCAAAUAUUAUUGCUAUUCUUUCCUUGAAUUGGGAAGUCUCGUUGUAAUCCAGAUGUUUGUGGUUGGAGUUUGCUCAAUUGAUGGUUUUUUGUGCAACUCCUCUUUUCUUGGCAGUCCUCCGUGUGAGUUCUGGGUUUUUGCCUUGUUGCAGAAGUGAAAAAUUAUCAAGAAGGCUAAGAUUUUUUACUUGAUAUGUUAUCCACAUAAUAGUUCACAAGUUGGAUUGGGUGUUGAGCAAAGUGCCCAAUUUGUCUGGUUUGUGGUCUUACGUUGUUUGUAGGAGGGAGGCAAAAGAUCUUAUUCAUAUAUUUUGGAGCUGUGAUCUUGCUUAUUUGGUUUGCAGUUGGUCUUUGAGGAGUUUGGCUUCAUUUUGGCUAGAUUUCGUGAGAAAGGUUGUUUCUUGUGGCAAGUCAUGUUGUGUGCUCUUUUGUGGAACCUUUGGGUCGAGAGGAACAGUAGAGUUUUUAGAGGGGUUGAGAAUUCUUCGAGUGGUCUUUUUCCCGUAUUGAAUUUAAUGCUUUGUCGUGGGCUUUUGGUUGAAUCUCCUUCUUGUGGGUCUUCCUCGUUGUUUACCUGUGUAUUCUUUCAAACUCUUUUCUAUGAAAACUUCUUUAUUCAUGAAUCUAUCUAUAUAUCUAUAUCUAUACUAUAUAUAAAAGAGACUAGGAUGAGAGUCUUUACAUCCCUGCUUUGCUUGUACAAGUCUUCAUAAUUCGUAUGUCUUGCGUCACAAUGAUUUGAGUCGAGGUGGUUACAUGUGAAAUGGUGUAUUCUUUUAUGUAUCAGUAUGAUCUAGAUCAUUUUUUUUCUUUAAAGGGGACGAAGCUUCUUUAUUAAUAAGGACUCAAAGUAUAAUCGAGGGAGUCGUAGGGGGAUUGGGAGGCGCACCCAGACAUCUCAACUAGGUUGACACCCCCUUAGCGCCAAGCAUCAUAUCCCCAAAAAACAUAAAGGCAAAAAACCAAUGGAGGAACAAUAAUAAUAACUUCCAGCCUAUUACAAGGGUCCAGAAAAAUAGGAAAAACGUGACCAGAAAAAACAGAAAAGGACCCAAUAAAACAAUCUAAAAAUUAAAAACUUACAAAAGGCCGAUCCUUCAAAACUUCGAGGCUUCAGACUGUGAAAUCUGCAAUGCAGUGGAUCUGGUGCAGCAACGGUUAGUCUUGAUUGAGAAAAACAUUCCAGUUGAGGUGAAAAUGGCAACGUUGGGACGUCUACUGAUACGAAAUUUGUUUCGAAAUCUUUUCCGGUUAUAGUUUCUGUUAAAAAAAAACCAGAAGUGACUGCUUGGGUGGAGAAUAAACAGAGCUUGCAACUUCAAAGCAAUGAUACCAAAACUGGACUUGAGUCAUUGUGCCAAUACGAUAGCGACGAGGAUUGAUAUGUUAUAUCAUAUUGUGUUUAUGAACUUUAAUUUAGUGUGCAUA